RNAcentral lists this ribosomal RNA (882 nucleotides) under Triticum aestivum (bread wheat). RNAcentral describes it as "partial small subunit ribosomal RNA". The record is from RNAcentral. Lineage: Eukaryota; Viridiplantae; Streptophyta; Magnoliopsida; Poales; Poaceae.
AUGCGGGCCCUCUUCUGGAACAUCCGCGGCUUCGGCCAUGAUGGUCGUCGCCGCCAACUUGUGGAGUUCAUGCGAGAUGAACACAUCGACAUCGUUGCUGUCCAGGAGACCAUGCGUCGCGAAUUCUCGCUCCCCGAGCUCGAUUGUUUGAGUUCCCACCUCUUUGCGUGGCAUUGGCUCCCUUCUAGUGGGAGCUCUGGCCACUCGGGUGGCAUCCUUUUAGGCGUAAAGGAUGCCACAUUCGAGGUGGGCAGUAUGGACCGGGGGGAAUUCUACGUCAGCAUGGAGCUCUUCAAGAGAUCUCUCAACUUCAAAUGGGAGAUCAUCAUUGUCUACGGGCCUGCCGACCAUAGUAGGUCGGCUGCCUUCCUCGAGGAGAUGCAUCAUAAAAUCUCGGCAGCCUCCCUCCCCGUGGUGGUGGGGGGCGACUUUAACCUGCUGCGCGUGGCGGCAGACAAGAGCAACGAUAAUGUUUGCUUUGCCAGAAUGCAAAUGUUUAAUGACUUCAUCGCCGACCUCGCCCUUCGGGAGAUUGAUAGGAUUGGUGCGCGGUUCACCUGGACCAAUCGGCAAUCUUCCCCGACCCAGUCCGUGUUGGACAGGGUCCUUGUCUCCCCGGAUUGGGGCCUCCGCUGCCCCCUCUCCUCUCUCCGCGCCAUCACUAGGAUUGGCUCGGACCAUGUCCCCCUUCUUCUCUCCUCUGCGGACAAACGCCCGCCGACCACUCUUCGCUUCCGCUUUGAGACCUUCUGGAUCUCCAGGCAGGAUUCACGGACGCAGUUUGCGCCCGGUGGAUUGAGGCCUGAGCCCACCCCCAUCCCAGGCCUCCCUCGAAAAUUGACACGUGGCAUUUCUGUGCGAAAUGUGGUAGACAGUUUAUGA